RNAcentral lists this ribosomal RNA (433 nucleotides) under Radix sp. clade 12 PVVO-2011. RNAcentral's name for it is "partial large subunit ribosomal RNA". The record is from RNAcentral. Lineage: Eukaryota; Metazoa; Mollusca; Gastropoda; Lymnaeidae.
AGCUUGAAGGAUACAUUUUAAGUGAAUUCUGCCCAGCGUUAUGUAUUAGCGGCCGCAGUACCUUGACUGUGCUAAGGUAGCAUAAUCAAUUGGCUUUUAAUUGAAGUCUGGAAUGAAAGGUUUGUUAAAGAAUUUUCUGUCUCUUUUUAGCUUAUAUGAAUUUAUUUAUAAAGUGAAAAUACUUUUUAUUAGAAAAAAGACGAGAAGACCCUUAGAAUUUUUAUUAAAAGGUUUUUUUAAAUCUCUUAUUUUUGUUGGGGCGACAAUGAAACAUUUAAACUUUCAUAUAAAAACAUGUCAUUUUUUUUUGUAUGGUAAAAUUACCUUAGGGAUAACAGCAUAAUGAUUAAUAUAGCUUAUGACCUCGAUGUUGGACUAGGAACUAAAAGAUUAACCGUCAAAGUAGAUUGUUCUGUUCGAACAACAGUUUCCU